Molecule: long non-coding RNA, 2475 nt
Filed under: Cyanistes caeruleus (blue tit)
Lineage: Eukaryota; Metazoa; Chordata; Aves; Passeriformes; Paridae
Description: lncRNA (ENSCCEG00000015610.1)
Source: RNAcentral
GUGAUUUAAGCUGAAGCUGAACUACUUACUGAACUUACAAGUUACUGCUUAUCGGAUAGAAUUGGGAAGGCAGCAGGGCAAACAUUGAUAUAGCAGAAAUAUCAAAUGUUUCCUCAAUAGAUUUACUGCUUUGGCCUGUUUUCUUACACUGAAUACCUAAGGAUUUUGGACACUCUCAGGUGUGUCUAAUCCCUUCAUCCUUUCAACACCAGGUAUUUUAAACUGGUUUUCCCUGGGUAUCUUCUCUCUCCUUGGAAUUGUCUGCACUUGGUGGCUUCCAGAACUGGAUCCUUUACUACUGAUCCCAAGCACCACAUGAGAACAGACCCUCCAUGUGCUCCAAACCCAUACAGAAGAAAAGGACUUCAUUAAAUGUUGCCACCCCUGAGCUCUGGUGUUCCUCCUGAAAACGUAGUGGAAGACUAUCAUAAUUAUGUAAAACUUUUUACAAGGCUCGUAGUGUUACUACCACAACACUGCUUCUGACAUGAAUGAGAUCAGUUUCAUUCACAAGAGAGAUAAAUUUCAUUCAGACACAUGCUGACCGCAACGAAAUCCAAAGACCAAAGGGAGGUGAUUUAAAGCCACUCACUGAGAAAAGAGCUGCUUCCAGCCAGCCCAAGGAAAGGAUAAAUACAAGGAAAGGCUGGACUUUGACCUCUUUUGAGGCUAGGUGCCUGAGGGAAGCAUAUGAGGUGAUUCACAGCAGGGCAAGAUUCACUGAACCAGAAGGGAGGUCUUAAGGAAGCUGACUCCACUUUUCUUAGCUCUGUGGUUUUUAGCUGAGAGCAGGCAGGCAACUUCUGCUUUUGGAGAGCUGUUUUGCCCUAGGCAGUCACAGAAGAGUUGGAAUGACACAGAGACCAGAGAUAAGUGGGCAUCCUCACCCCAACAGGUCUGUGAUUUAGAAAGUGAGGCACUGUCCAGGAGAGUGGGCUCUGUUGGGAGAAGAGGGAAAAAGGAGGGUCACUUCUUACCCCUUGACACAGCAGAUUGAUUUGGCUGAAUGAUUGAGACUACAUAAUGCCACUCUUUCUCUCAGCUACCUGUAACACAGGCCUUUAAACAUUAGAGAAGCCAUGAUCCUGCAGUGACCUAGUAAGAUUCUCAAAAACACUUAGCCCAAGAGGAAGGAAGCACUGUUAGAGCACAGUGUUUAAUGUGUUCUGAUCAUUCUUUAAAUAUUUUUCUGUAGCCAACAUACUAGCUCUUAACAUGAGCUACUAUGAUUACAGUAAAGCCAAGGAGAGAGCCUUGGAGUUUAACAAAACCAGCUUAAAAUAUGAAAAUUUGGUGAGUUUUUUUGCAGUGGGUUUAGAAAUAGCUGUCAGAAUGUCCUUACAAUUUGUGGCAUGGUGCUGCACAGUGAAUUUGGUGCCACCAUCAAAUUUUAAAUACUGAAGCCUAGAUAUUUGAAGCAAUUUAGGUAGUCAGUCCUAUGAAUAUAGAGGAGGCUUGGGAUGAGAGCCAGCUGCCUAAGAUCAGGUGGACAGAGACCUUCCAGGUGCCUGAUGGUACCCAAAUAAUCUGCAUUUGGCAGGCAGACAUGAUGUGGUCCUGACGGGACCUGCAGGAAUCCCAUGCUCUGCUGGAGAGGCCUUUGAGGAGGACACCCUAUGGGCCAUCCGGGGAACUCUGAACAUCCACGACAAGGCACUUGAACCACUUGGUCAGUUCUUGGGGCAAUGUUUGCUCUGCACACAGAGAUGCCCUGUGGGCUCUAUCUGCUCAGCCCUUGCUGAGGAGUUCCACACCCCACUGCAUUCUGUGGGGCAAGACCAUUACAGUGGUAACGUGGAUACAGACAACAUCCAUGUUGAAAUGAGCUGUUUUUCAAGGGAGGAAUAUGUUUUUUCUAUUCUGAUCUGUGACACCUAAGUGAAAAUUGAAUCCUAAAAUUGUAUUUUAUUAUGUGUUGGUAAAGCACAGCAAAGAUUUUCAAUGCUUUAUUAAAGGUUUUUAAUAUGCUUGAUUGCAUAUAUCCCAGCCAAAAUCUUCUCUAUCCUACAUAGGUAUUUAUCUCAGCCAGCAGAUUUUGUUUGCUCAGAUCCAAAUUAGAAAGUAUUUAAAGCAGAUAGCACAUCUCUAAAAAUAUACUGAAUUUACAAUGAAGCUUUAACAUUCUCUUGCUAAAUUUCACACAUCUGAUUUGAUUUCUGAAAAGAAAAGGUAAACACGGAAAUUUUCUUCACUAGUUCUCAUGCGCUGCUUGCAACAAUACAAGAAGAAUAUUUCCUAUUUUACUACCAUGUAUUUGAAGCAGAGAACAAAUGCCCAUUCCCUUUACAGGCAAGGAAGUCAAGUUUCCAACUGCAGUUAAUGCCGUGUUUUGUUCUAUUUCUUGGUAAUGUAAGCUCUUAUGCAAAUUGAAUGUCUGCUGUUCAGGCCCAGUUGACUACAACAGGGGAGGCUGGAACCAAAUUGCUUCUGUCUGUCUUAACAGGACUUUUUAAUAAAAUCUACUUUACAUAGCCA